GAGGGUACAGCUCAGUGGCAGAGUGUGGGCUUAGCAAGCAUGCAAGCACGAGGUCCUGGGUUCAAUCCCCAGUACCGCCA
This 80-nucleotide transfer RNA is filed under the name Camelus ferus (Wild Bactrian camel). It matches the Rfam family "tRNA". Rfam says of the family: Transfer RNA (tRNA) molecules are approximately 80 nucleotides in length. Their secondary structure includes four short double-helical elements and three loops (D, anti-codon, and T loops). Further hydrogen bonds mediate the characteristic L-shaped molecular structure. tRNAs have two regions of fundamental functional importance: the anti-codon, which is responsible for specific mRNA codon recognition, and the 3' end, to which the tRNAs corresponding amino acid is attached (by aminoacyl-tRNA synthetases). tRNAs cope with the degeneracy of the genetic code in two manners: having more than one tRNA (with a specific anti-codon) for a particular amino acid; and 'wobble' base-pairing, i.e. permitting non-standard base-pairing at the 3rd anti-codon position. Lineage: Eukaryota; Metazoa; Chordata; Mammalia; Artiodactyla; Camelidae. The record is from Rfam by way of RNAcentral.